GAUGAACGCUGGCGGCGUGCCUAAUACAUGCAAGUCGAGCGAAAAGACGAGGAUUUUGCUCCUCUGACGUUAGCGGCGGACGGGUGAGUAACACGUGGAUAACCUACCUAUAAGACUGGGAUAACUACGGGAAACCGGAUCUAAUACCGGAUAAUAUAUUGAACCGUGUGGUUCAAUAGUGAAAGACGGUUUUGCUGUCACUUAUAGAUGGAUCCGCGCCGCAUUAGCUAGUUGGUAAGGUAACGGCUUACCAAGGCAGCGAUGCGUAGCCGACCUGAGGGGGUGAUCGGCCACACUGGAGCUGAGACACGGUCCAGACUCCUACGGGAGGCAGCAGUAGGGAAUCUUGCGCGAUGGGCGAAAGCCUGACGGAGCAACGCCGCCUGAGUGAUGAAGGUCUUCGGAUCGUAAAACUCUGUUAGUAUUGAAGAACAAAUGUGUAUGUAACUAUGCACGUCUUGACGGUACCUGAACAGAAAGCCCCGGCUAACUACGUG
This 497-nucleotide ribosomal RNA is filed under the name uncultured bacterium. Its description in RNAcentral is "partial 16S ribosomal RNA". It matches the Rfam family "Bacterial small subunit ribosomal RNA", at positions 28 to 507 of the family's 1533-position model. The record is from RNAcentral.